RNAcentral lists this long non-coding RNA (280 nucleotides) under Homo sapiens (human). RNAcentral's name for it is "HSALNT0205149". The record is from RNAcentral. Lineage: Eukaryota; Metazoa; Chordata; Mammalia; Primates; Hominidae.
UAAAUAUUGCAAAUGAUCUGGUAAGAGCUGAAUGACAAUCCUACAGAAGACAAUGGCUGAAUGUAGCUGUGGAAAUCAGUAUCAAAGACAAGAAAAGGAAUAGGAGUAAGGAGAGAGCCCCAAAUCUUAAAACGACCAUGUAUGUGUCCCUCACAGACGGAUCUGAGAUCAACUCCUCCAUUUGUUGCCUCUUGCUGGAAGGCAGCCCUUUUGAGUGGGGCCUUUUCAAGACAUUUCCAACUUGAGUACUUUGCAGAAGACCCCAAUAACCCUCAUGAAA